GGGGCUGUAGCUCAGUUGGGAGAGCACCUGCUUUGCAAGCAGGGGGUCACCGGUUCGAGCCCGGUCAGCUCCA
This 73-nucleotide transfer RNA is filed under the name Nannocystis sp. Its description in RNAcentral is "tRNA-Ala". It matches the Rfam family "tRNA". From Rfam's summary of the family: Transfer RNA (tRNA) molecules are approximately 80 nucleotides in length. Their secondary structure includes four short double-helical elements and three loops (D, anti-codon, and T loops). RNAcentral also lists the same sequence under 3 other names. Lineage: Bacteria; Pseudomonadati; Myxococcota; Nannocystales; Nannocystaceae. The record is from RNAcentral.